UAUACCUAAUAAUAAAGUAUUAGGUAUAAUACUUUAACUAUUUUUGUUAAAAUGGCAAAGAAUAAAAAAGAAAAAUAAUAAUCCUUAUAGUGGAACUUGAUGUUGUUUGAUAAACUAAAUAAUGUGUUCAUACCUAAAAAUAUCAAACAUGGACAGAGGUGUCCAUGUGUCCAUAGUGACAGAGGUACUACAACAAAAACAUUACUUGUCCUUAACACUAAAUGUAGCAGGUAUCUCCAGUUUUACAUCUCUCUGAAUAUGAUUUGUUGUUUUCAGUUUCUUAACUUAAAACACGGGAGCUGUUUUAUCCAAUCCAUUUUCAGAUGUAUUUGUGAACGGCAUUGGCUCCCGUUCACACUCCAGACCAGAUGGUGGCGGUGUUGCACACUUUGUUUUUUUUUUUAAAAGCGCCAUAAAAAGAAGAAAAGCCCUGAAUCCAGAGAAGAUAACGGACUGUGUUCAAAUUUGCCAUUUUUACUCGCAUAAUAUUGAAUUAAAAGUAGCGAGGGCCUUGAUAAUAGUUAGUAGUUUUGGUAAAUUCAAGCUGGUAACGACCUAGUCUGAGUUAGACGACAACACAACAGGACAAGAACUGGAUGGAAAUUAAAUGUGGGCCACGAAAGGGGGACGAAGGCUAACUUGUUGCAAGCUGGUGUCUAAGCAAAUGAAAAUGAAAGAGGAAGCCAUUCCUGGCUUCCAGGAAUUAGAAAACCUGAAGACUUUCCUGUCUCAGAAGAGGCUCUGGCUCCAGAUGAUGAACGGUGCAAGGCUUUAUUUUAUUUUAUUACACUGAGCAGCUGGCCGCAGUUUUAACAGCAAAAACUGCUUUCAGGGCCCUGUGAUGGAC
Long non-coding RNA from Poecilia reticulata (guppy), 847 nucleotides. RefSeq lists it as uncharacterized. The record is from RefSeq and is a predicted model, not a curated record. NCBI's taxonomy places the organism in Eukaryota, Metazoa, Chordata, Actinopteri, Cyprinodontiformes, Poeciliidae.